RNAcentral lists this ribosomal RNA (271 nucleotides) under uncultured archaeon. Its description in RNAcentral is "partial 16S ribosomal RNA". It matches the Rfam family "Bacterial small subunit ribosomal RNA", at positions 524 to 794 of the family's 1533-position model. The record is from RNAcentral.
UACGAAGGGGGCUAGCGUUGUUCGGAAUUACUGGGCGUAAAGCGCACGUAGGCGGAUCAGCAAGUCAGGGGUGAAAUCCCGGGGCUCAACCUCGGAACUGCCUCUGAUACUGCUGGUCUAGAGUCCGGAAGAGGUGGGUGGAAUUCCUAGUGUAGAGGUGAAAUUCGCAGAUAUUAGGAAGAACACCGGUGGCGAAGGCGGCCCACUGGUCCGGUACUGACGCUGAGGUGCGAAAGCGUGGGGAGCAAACAGGAUUAGAAACCCCGGUAGU